RNAcentral lists this ribosomal RNA (253 nucleotides) under uncultured bacterium. RNAcentral's name for it is "partial 16S ribosomal RNA". It matches the Rfam family "Bacterial small subunit ribosomal RNA", at positions 524 to 776 of the family's 1533-position model. The record is from RNAcentral.
UACGUAGGUGGCAAGCGUUGUCCGGAAUUAUUGGGCGUAAAGCGCGCGCAGGCGGCUUCUUAAGUCUGAUGUGAAAUCUCGGGGCUCAACCCCGAGCGGCCAUUGGAAACUGGGAAGCUUGAGUACAGAAGAGGAGAGUGGAAUUCCACGUGUAGCGGUGAAAUGCGUAGAUAUGUGGAGGAACACCAGUGGCGAAGGCGGCUUCCUGGUCUGCAACUGACGCUGUGGCGCGAAAGCUAGGGGAGCAAACGGG